GACGAACGCUGGCGGCGUGCUUAACACAUGCAAGUCGAACGGACAGGCCCUGCUCUUGCGGGGUGCUCGAGUGGCGAACGGGUGAGUAACACGCGAGUAAACUGUCCUUGUCUUUGGGAUAACUUUAGGAAACUGGGGCUAAUACCGGAUAGGAGAUCCUGCUGCAUGGUGGGGGUUGGAAAGAUUCGGCGGUUGGGGAUGGACUCGAGGCUUAUCCGCUUGUUGGUGUGGUAGUGGAUUACCAAGGCUUUGACGGGUAGCCGGCCUGGGAGGGUGACCGGCCACAGUGGGACUGGGAUACGGCCCAGACGCCUACGGGAGGCAGCAGUGGGAAUAUUGCACAAUGGGCGGAAGCCUGAGGCAGCAACGCCGCGUGCGGGAUGACGGCCUUCGGGGUGUAAACCGCUUUCGCCUGUGACGAAGCGUGAGUGACGGUAAUGGGUAAAGAAGCACCGGCUAACUACGUG
RNAcentral lists this ribosomal RNA (467 nucleotides) under uncultured bacterium. RNAcentral describes it as "partial 16S ribosomal RNA". It matches the Rfam family "Bacterial small subunit ribosomal RNA", at positions 28 to 507 of the family's 1533-position model. The record is from RNAcentral.